This 37190-nucleotide long non-coding RNA is filed under the name Prunus persica (peach). Its description in RNAcentral is "long non-coding RNA (PPER_LNC005189)". The record is from RNAcentral. Lineage: Eukaryota; Viridiplantae; Streptophyta; Magnoliopsida; Rosales; Rosaceae.
AACCACACUCUAUUAUUAUUAACAGUUUUCUGUCAAAACAAACCCUUAAGGUCCUUAACUAUUGGCUUGCAGCCACAUAUAAUUACUGUGGUGACCUUCUCGAAUCAUCAAUUUUUAUUCAUUUAAGUUGUUGAUCAACUGCCGCAGGCAAGUUAUUCUCCUGAACUCGAAUCCCAUCAAGUAAUUGUCUCAAUUCCGCAUGUAAACAAACAAAGGCUCACAAAACUCUCCAAAAUAUACGCAUUAAUUAAUUCUUUGCUUCUUUUCCCAUUAUAAGAAGAAGAAAGCCGUCUAAUUUGUUAAAGUAUAAGUGUUUUUAGCUGAGUGUGUUUUGUUUAAUUGUGAACCAUUGGAUCACAGUCCAAUGGACAGCUGAGAUGUAUUCUUAGUUUUAGUAGAAUUGUGCCAAGUGUAGCUAUCUCAUAGGAUAGCUUAAUCAGUGGUUAGAUUGGAUGAUGUAAGAGGAAUAUUCUAUUCCUAACGGUUAUAUUGUACUGCACAGCUUGUGCAUGACUAAGUAAGAGAGAUAACAGACUCAUUUUUCAUCUUCUUCUUCUCCAAGUUUUCUCUCUGUGUUUUCUCUUCCUACAUGAGCUCCAUCUACCAAUAAUCCAAAACCUAAAAACAGAUCAUAGUCUGUGAAUUCUAACAUGGUAUCAGCUGCCUGGUUGAUUAUUUAGCUGGGCAUUUGAAUCUGUGAAGGAAGGGAGCUGCGAUUUCUGACGAACUUACUUUCUUGGAGAUCUGUGUCUAACAUGGCCGGAUCUGGAGGUGGUGAGCUGCGAGCUCCGAUCUUCAAUGGUGAGAACUAUGAGUUCUGGAGCAUAAGGAUGAAAACCAUUUUCAAAUCUCAUGGGCUUUGGGAAUUGGUUGAGAAAGGAAUAGGAAGCUCAGAUUCGAAGGGAGAUGAUGAAUCUGAUGCAAAGCAGAAAGAAAAAGAGGAACUGAGUGGUGCUGGGAAGAUGGCUCUAGCUGAGAUCCUGAUGAAAGAUGCUAAGGCCUUGGGGUUGAUUCAAGGAGCUGUAUCUGAAGGGAUCUUCCCUAGGAUUUCUCAUGAAGAAUCAUCUCAUGGAGCUUGGAACAUUCUGAAGCAGGAAUUUCAUGGUGAUAAGCAGGUAAGGAGUGUAAAAUUACAGAGUCUUCGUAGAGAAUUUGAAUAUACUAGAAUGAGAGAGGAUGAAUCUCUAUCUGCUUAUCUUACCAAGUUGUUUGAUCUGAUAAAUCAAAUGAGAGGUUAUGGAGAAGAGUUAUCUAGAGAAAGAAUUGUGCAGAAAAUGUUAAUUAGCCUGCUGCCUGUGUAUGAUCCAAUCUGUUCUGUAAUUGAACACUCAAGGGAUCUAGAUGUAAUUGAGGUUCAAGAGGUGGUGGCCUCAUUGAAGAGCUUUGCUCAAAGACUGGAAAGACAUCAUGAGAACUCGACUGAGAAGGCCUUUGCUAGUCUGAGUGUGGAUUCCAAAUCAGCUAAGGCUACUGGAAAUCAGAACAACAAGCAGCAGAAGAAUUGGAAGGAUAAGGGGAAGAAGUGGGAUAAUAAACCUGCUGAUGGAACUAAAAAUCCUUGCAAACAUUGUGGGAAAUUGCAUUAUGGAGAAUGUAGAUUCAAGGGUAAACCGAAGUGCUAUAACUGUGACAAGCUUGGUCACAUUGCCAAAGACUGCUAUAGUAAGAAAACUGUGCACCAGCAGCAGCUUCAGUAUGCUACUCAGGUUACCACUACACCAACCAUGUUCUAUGUUAACAAUGCAACUGAGAAAAGGUCCAUGGAAGAGGUAUGGUACUUGGACAGUGGGUGUAGUAACCACAUGACUGGCAGAGAAGACAUCUUGAUUGAUAUUGAUAGGAAUGUGAUAGCAAAAGUUGGAAUGGGAACAGGACAGUUGGUUGAUGUUAUUGGAAAAGGAAGCUUGAUGGUUGAAACUAAAAUGGGAAGGAAAUAUAUCAAGGAGGUGCUGCUGGUAUCUGGUCUCAAAGAGAACCUACUUAGUGUAGGACAAAUGAUGGAACAUGGAUAUGUUCUAAUCUUUGGAGAUAACAAAGCAGAGGUUUAUGAUGAUAGCUCUCUCUCAAAUCUGGUGGCUAGAGUGCAUAUGAAAGGAAAUAGAAGUUUUCCUUUGAAACUUGACACAGACUUACAUGUUGCACUAACAGCAAGCAUAAGUCAAUCCACAUUGCUUUGGCAUAGGAGAAUGAGACACUUAAACUUCCAGAGUUUGAAACUGUUGCAGAAUGAAGACAUGGUGCUUGGUCUGCUAGAAAUUAAAAAUGCAAAUGCAGUGUGUGAAGGCUGUACUUUUGGAAAACAGUGCAGGAAGGCUUUUCCAAAAGAAGCAACCAGCAGAGUUACAACUCCACUGGAAUUGGUACACACUGAUGUGUGUGGCCCAAUGCAAACUGUUACAAAAGCAGGAAACAGGUAGUUCCUUACUUUUAUAGAUGAUUGUACACGAAUGUGCUGGAUCUAUUUCUUGAGAUGCAAAUCUGAGGUAUUCACAGUGUUUAAGAGGUUUAGAGCCACUGUUGAAUUGCAAAGUGGAUAUAAGGUGAAGAAGCUAAGAAGUGAUAGGGGAGGAGAGUACACCACUAAUGAGUUCAAUAAAUUCUGUGAUGAAAUGGGAAUGGAGAGGCAGCUUACAGUGGCAUACUCACCACAGCAGAAUGGUGUGGCUGAGAGGAAGAACAAAACCAUAGUGGAGAUGGCCAAGUGUAUGAUGUUUGAGAAGGGCAUGCCACUUGAGUUUUGGGCAGAAGCUUAAUACUGCAGUGUAUGUUCUAAACCGAAGUCCAACUAAAGCUUUGGACAAGAAAACACCAUUUGAAGCCUAUAGUGGGAGAAAGCCAGGACUUAAACACUUAAGAGUGUUUGGAUCUUUGUGCUAUGCACAUGUUCCAAACCCACAAAGGCAGAAACUAGAUUUAACAAGCAAAAUGUGUGUGUUUCUAGGAUAUGGCAGCUGUGAGAAGGGGUAUAGAUUGUAUAACAUUACCACUGAAAAGGUGAUUAUCUCAAGGGAUGUGGUAUUUAAUGAAGAUGCUCAUUGGGAUUGGAAUGCACAGCAAGAAUGCAGUGUUUCUGUGGCACUUCCUGAAUUUGUGACUGAAAAGGAGGAAGGGAGCAAUGACACAGUUGUGAAGCAAGCAGAACAUUCAGUUGAGAAUGAGGUGUUAUUCGAAGACAAUGAAGAAAGAUCUGUGAUUGACACAGGUACUCAAGAUAUUGACCACACCCCAUUGAAAUACAAAAGUCUUACAGAGAUCUAUGAAAGAUGCAACAUCUGUAUCAUUGAACCAGAAACCUAUGAAGAAGCUAUCAAGGAUGCAGCAUGGCAAAAGGCAAUGGAAACUGAACUUGAGAUGAUUGAGAAGAAUGAAACUUGGGAAUUGGUAAAAAGACCAUCUGAUAAACCUAUAGUUGGAGUCAAAUGGAUCUUUAAAGUCAAGCUAAAUCUGGAUGGAUCAGUUCAGAAAAACAAAGCAAGGCUAGUAGCUAAAGGCUACACUCAAAAGCCAGGAAUUGAUUUCAAUGAGACAUUUGCACCAGUUGCUCGGCUUGAUACAGUGAGAACACUAAUAGCUUUGGCUGCUCAGAAAAGAUGGAAGUUGUUUCAGCUUGAUGUAAAGUCAGCUUUCUUAAAUGGAGUGUUACAUGAGGAGGUGUAUGUGGAUCAACCUCCAGGAUUUGUGGUUAAAGACAAGGAAGACAGAGUUUAUAGACUCAAGAAGGCUCUUUAUGGUCUUAAAUAAGCUCCAAGAGCUUGGUAUGAAGAAAUUAAUUCAUAUUUUACAGCUGCAGGAUUUCAGAGGAGUCCUAGUGAGGCUACAUUAUAUGUGAAAGCUGCAGAAAGUGGAAUCCUAAUUGUUUCACUAUAUGUAGAUGAUAUCAUCUACACAGGAAGUUCUGAAGAAUUGGUAAUGAACUUUAAAACUGAAAUGAUGAAAAGAUAUGAAAUGACUGAUCUGGGAUUGUUGCACCAUUUUCUAGGAUUGGGUGUGAUACAAGCUGAGUCCUACAUCUUCUUGCAUCAGAAAAAAUAUGCAAGAACAUUGUUGGACAAGUUUGGUUUCAAAGACUGUAAAGUAGUGUCAACUCCACUAGCUAUGAAUGAGAAAUUAUCCAAGGAGGAUGGAAGUGAACAGGCUGAUGAAAACGUGUACAGACAGAUAGUUGGAAGCUUGCUAUAUCUGACAGCAACAAGGCCAAAUGUCAUGUUUGCUGCAAGUCUUUUGGCUAGAUAUAUGCAUGGACCUACAAAGAAACACAUGGGAACUGCCAAGUGAGUACUUAGAUACAUUCAAGGUACUCUAGACUAUGGCAUAUUAUAUGAGAAAGGAAAAGAGACAAUGCUGGUUGGAUAUUGUGACAGUGAUUGGUUAGGUUGUGAAGAUGAUAUGAGGAGUACUUCUGGCUAUGCUUUUCAUCUUGGAUCAGGUGUUUUCUCUUGGGCAUCUAUUAAGCAGAGCAGUGUAGCACUAUCUACUACAGAGGCAGAAUAUGUUAGUACAGCUGAAGCUACAGCUCAAGCUGUUUGGUUAAGAUUUGUUCUAUCUGAUUUUGGUGAGGAACAAGUUGAGGCUACUCCAAUCCUAUGUGACAAUACUUCAGCAAUUGCAAUAACAAAGAAUCCUGUGCAUCAUCACAGGACAAGACAUAUAAGUAGAAGAUUUCAUUUCAUUCGUGAUGCUUUGCAAAAUGGUGAGAUUGAUCUAUUAUACUGCAGAACUGGAGAGCAGAAUGCAGAUAUCUUUACUAAGGCAUUAGCAAGGGAUCGGUUUGAAUAUCUAAGGGGCAAGCUUGGAGUCAUCUCAGCUAAACACUUAGAAGGGAGUGUUAAAGUAUAUAUAAGUGUUUUUAGCUAAGUGUGUUUUGUUUAAUUGUGAACCAUUGGAUCACAGUCCAAUGGACAGCUGAGAUGUAUUCUUAGUUUUAGUAGAAUUGUGCCAAGUGUAGCUAUCUCAUAGGAUAGCUUAAUCAAUGGUUAGAUUGGAUGAUGUAAGAGGAAUAUUCUAUUCCUAACGGUUAUAUUGUACUGCACAGCUUGUGCAUGACUAAGUAAGAGAGAUAACAGACUCAUUUUUCAUCUUCUUCUUCUCCAAGUUUUCUCUCUGUGUUUUCUCUUCCUACAUGAGCUCCAUCUACCAAUAAUCCAAAACCUAAAAACAGAUCAUAGUUUGUGAAUUCUAACAUAAUUCAUCAUCACCAACACAAGCAAACUCAACAUCAACAAUGUCGACAAAGUCUAGCAUUACCGUCCUUGCCUUUGCCUUUUGUUUCUUGUCCCUCCUCAGUUUUGCUUACUCCAACACCACCGACGACAAAAUCUACCUCACCGGCCUGGUCUACUGUGACAACUGCCAAUUGAAGUCUAUGACCGAGAUGAGUAAGAUGAUUCCAGGUACGUAACGUUAAUAAGUAGGUAACAAACUACCUAAAUGUCGAUUAUAAGAUUUGAAUAUGAGAUUUAUGCAUGCAUGCAUGCACAUUGCCCAUUGAUCAGGUACAACGGUGCGAUUGGAGUGUAGGGAGGGGGGAACAUAAAGUCCAGCCAAGAGGCGGAAACCAACCAGCUUGGACUGUACGUGUUUAAGUUGGACAAAUCUAAGGAGCCUGUGGAUGAUUGUCAAGUGACACUGCUACACAGGCCUGACCCUGAAUGCAAGAUUUCCCACGAAGUCGACCCUAACAACAAAUCGAAAACUGCACCGGUGGCCACCCGGAAGCUCAACCUAUUGGAAGGAGACAGCGUCGAUGUCAUCGCACCAAGCCACCGCGUUGCCUACCCUCUUGGUUUGGUAGUUGAGAAAGCUCAUCCCGAGUGCGAGCAGUUCGCCAAAGCGCGCAAGCAUUUUCAGAACUAAUUUAAGGAAUUGAAGAUGAAAACCGUCUGAUAUUAAAUCAAUCUCCAAUUUCAGUGAAUUUUUCUUUUUGAUUGCAAAGAGAGAUGAAUUUUUCUUUCUGAUAUUCACAGUUAUGUUUCGUGAAUUCACAACAAGUAUAAACAAAGAAGUGUAAUUAGAAGUGCACUCAAGUAUUAUAUCCGUGAAGAUAUUGCCAUGUCGAUUAAUCUAGUCUUUUUAUUUUUUACUUUAUUAAUUCUUAAUUAAGAUUCAAUUUAGGACCUAUUUAAAGAGAAGUAAAAUACGAUUUAAAAUCUAUCUUAUAACCUAAUAAUCUCCUAAUCAAAAUACUAAACUUUUAACAUGUCACCUAUCAAUUUAGCCCUUAAUUAUACUAAGCUUAAAUUCCAUGGUCCAUACUAGUUUGAUUUUUAUUUUUUAUUUUGGUGUGAAAAUUUGGUCUUUUCUUUUAAAUAAUGUGCUAGAUAGUGUGAAAGUAGCAAAUAAAUAGUGAUGUGUGCAAAUUGGAUUUGACACAUAUCACAACCCAUAUCAUCAUUAAGGCCCUAAAAAUUCAAUCAUUCUGUGCCUGGUUAAUACGUUAAGUAGUUUAUGAAAUGAUUAAGAUCGAAGAGGAUCCAUGACUUGUAAUGGAUCACUUGUUCAUUUCCUUAAAAUAAUAAAAAAAUAAACUCGCAAUACCGACUCCAUUCGUAAUUCCAUCAAUUACUCGUCUAUCAAAAAAAUAAGUUAGUUUAGCUAAUCUUCUUAUACUGUUAGUAAAGGAUAAUGUGAAAUUAGGAAAUAAAUAAUGAUUAACGGACCCAAAACAUUGAAUUAUUGUGUGCCCAGUCAGAAAUUCUUCGAGGGCACGUAGACAGGUCCCCAUCUAGUAUACUAUGAGGAAAAGGACAGCCCACAACAAGUUUAUGUCUAUAAAAUGCCAGAUGCUCAUUGAAUGUCUUGUGCCCAUGAAAGAUUAAAUAUAUUUUCACAGAAUGCGUACCAUGGCUCUCACAAAUCAAGGCCAGUACCUCUGCUUAGCUUUUCUUUUCAUUUUGGCCAUUUGCUCCUCUCAAGCAUCGUCACGCCAAAUUUAUGAUGAGAAAACCAUGUUGGCGAGACAUGAAGACUGGAUGGCUCAAUUUGGGCCAGUUUUUUUUGUAAGGAUGCUGAGGAGAAACAGAGGCGAUUCGUGAUAUUCAAGGCCAACUUGGAGUUCAUUAAGCUUUUAACAAACACAUGAGCCAGAACUACUUCACUCUAAGCUUAAAUGAAUUUGCAGACCUAACCAAUGAGGAGUUUCAGGAAAUUCGUAAUGGUUACACGAAACGAUCCUCCAAAUCGAUCAUGUCCAAUUCCACGAAAGCUACAUGUUUCAGAUAUUGAAAUGUCACUGAUGUGCCUCCUUCAGUGGAUUGGAGAGAAAAGGGUGACGCCUAUCAAGGACCAAGGCAAAUGUGGUAAGUAUUAAACAAGUUGUUAAAUGAUGAUGCAUUCACUUUUUCACAACAUAACAUGUUAUUGAGUGAUGAGGCAUGUUAUUUCAAUUUUAUAGGGUGUUGUUGGGCGUUCUCAGCAGUGGCAGCGACAGAAGGGGUUAAAAAGCUCAAAACCAGAAACUAAAUCUCAGUAUCAGAGCAAGAGCUUGUGGAUUAUGACACUACAGGUCAAGGUCAUGGCUGUGAAGGUGAUCUAAUGGAUGACGCUUUUCAAUUCAUCCAACGCAACAAAGGCUGACAACUGAAGCUAAUCACUCCUACCGGGGUGUAGAUGGAACUAGUUGCAACACUCAGAAAGCUGCAUCCCAAACAGUGUCCAUAAACGGGUACGAGGAUGUGCCUAAAAACAACCAAAAUGCUAUGUUGCAAGCCGUCGCUAACCAACCAAUUUCGGUUGCCAUUGACGCAAGUGGCUGUACCUUCCAGUUUUAUUCAAGUGGGGUGUUCACCGUGGUAUAAACUUAGAUCAUGGUGUUACUGCAGUUGGAUACGGGACUAGUAGUGAUGGGACUAAAUACUGGCUGGUGAAGAAUUCUUGGGGCACAGGGUGGGGGGAGGGUGGAUAUGUGAUGAUGCAAAGGGGCAUUCCUGCCAAGGAAGGACUCUGUGGCAUUGCUAUGGAAGCUUCUUAUCCAACCGCAUGAUUAAUUAAAAUGCAUAUAUGUCAUAAUCAGCCCCGAUCUCUUGGACCACAGGGGUCCAAGAGACUAUGGUCACCCACCGUUAGAUGUAACAUCCAACGGUUCAAAAAAGUUUCUUAAAAGGAGUGCAAGAGUGAGUGAAUCGUUGAAUUUACAUCCAACGGUGAGUGACCACAAAUCUCUUGGAUCCCUAUAGUCCAAGAGAUCAGGACUGAUGUCAUAAUAUAGUGUGGUGUAUAAAAUAUGUAUAAUUGAAUAAUAUAGAAAGACGCUAGCUAUGAGCUGCUAUCCUUCCACUUUGAAAUCCAUGCCUCAAAACAUAGAAACAAUUAACCCAUGACGUGGAUUUGCUCUUAAAAUCUCACGCAAUUAAUUAGCAGCUAUAGCUAUGAGGUUGACAUGUUUUCAUUACCAUUGCAAGGUUAAAUCAAGUUAGAUUAAGGGUGCAUAUUUUUGCUCACCAUCAUUCUUAAUACUUGACAUGUAUCUAUGGGUAUAACCAUGGUUAUAUAAAUAUAUAACUAUGAUUAUGUCAAUGAACAUACGUGUCAAGUGUUAAGAUGGGUAGUGAGAAUACACAUCUGGUUAAAGUGGUGAGUAAAUAUAUUCCCCUAGAGUAAUCACAUGAUCAUGUCAUUGAUCCUACAAGGUAAAACUGUGAAACGACGUCAUUAGACUUGUUCGUGGGUGGCAUGGAUUGGAAACAGGUAAUUAACCAUAGAGUAUGCUACACUUACCACAUUUUACCCCACAUUUCUAUACCAGAUGAUGUGACAUGUCCAUAUCAUAUGCCAUAUCAAUUAAAUCAAUGAAGUGUAUUGUAAUAAAGAAAGUUUAACUAACAGUUUUUUUUAAAGUGUUAAUAAAUCAUAAAAAGAAAAGAAAAUAUUAAAUAAUUUUAAUUGAUGUGACUGUCCACCUCAUCUGCCACAUAAGGUGGUAUGGGAAUGUGGUAUACAAAUGUGGUAAGAGUAGCAUUAUUCGUAGAGAAACCUAGGUAUUUAAUCCCAUAAUUUUGUAUAAAUGGAAAGCAUAUUACACCGGAGACAAUGAAAUAAAAAGAUGUCAAAGCUUUCAAUAAUACUUUAUAUUUUUAAAGAGGGGGAAGUACAAUAUUAUGAUGAAGAGAUGAGUCUUUUUGUCAAUUAAGAUGCACCAUUUAUAUAUCCUACAUCCACAUUACCUUUUGCAUGAUCCUGCCAUGAACAUCCAAAAAUGCAACGAUCUAGUUAAAAUUCAUUUCAUUGUUCCUAUAACUUGUUCUUCCUAUACACACACAAAUUCCAUGAAUUAAUUGACAAUGUGAUAUUAAUAUUACCAUAUAACAUUUUCAACAUUCUCAUCUCGUCCUUGCAUUCAAGUAAAGAAAAGAAUACACGUAUCCAUGGAUUGUUGAUGUCUAAAUUUGACUCAACGGUUUAAGAUCGUAAAAACAACACAUUCACAUCAUGACACACACUCAAGUCAGGCUACGUCCAUAAUAUACAAUUAGUGAACUGAAUUACAUGAAUCUACAAGUACGGGAUAUAAAUGCUACAAGCCCUACAUGCUACAAUAUCUGUCCUAUUUUUGGGUCAACCAUUCCUUAUUCUCUUUGAUAGUACAAUCGAGUUUACAUGUUAGGAUCCUAACGGGGAUAUUAAACGCUGAAAAGGAAAUAAUCAAUUCCCAAUAAGCCCUUAAUAUCAUCUAACCAAGAUACAAGCCUCAUAUAUAUCUUUACAAAUCUUUCUAGUUCUUAAAGGUUAUAGCAUCCAUGUAACAACCCGAUCCAAAAUUAAUAUUUAAUUAUUAAUUUAUUCAUGUAAAAGAUAUUUUUACCCCGGAAUAUUUUAAUGAUUUAAAAGUUUACUUUUUAUUCAGGAAGGAAUUUGGGGAUUUCAGUUGUACCGUUGCGUAGAGCACAUCGAGAUGAGUCUGUAGACACGUAAUGGGCUCAAAUUCGAGUUGUUACGAGAGAGAUAUGAUCAAAAUUCAAGUAAAAUCAUAAUUUUGCCAAACUGGUUUUUAAAACUAGAAUCUCUCUCUCUCUCUCUCUCUCUCUCUCUCUCUCUCUCUCUCUCUCUCUCUCUCUCUCUCUCUCUCUCCCUCCCACCGAGCAGCCCCUACCCUUCGAAUUUUGUUGCACGGCCAGUGGCUCCAAGAGCCACCACAGCCACCACUUGGGGCGGCACCGGUCCCAAAAGGACCAUUGUGAGGUCCUCUUCUAGUGCUACACGGUCUCCGCCGCCAAACACCAGCACAGCUGCCGGAUUCUGCGGAAAUCCAGUCGAAAUUGACCCGUUUUUCCUUCGAUUGUUUCAGACGUUUUCGGGGUCCAAAUUUUAUGAUUGAGGUAUGCUUUUCGAUCCUUUCGAGGUGUUUUCGCUGCUGGUUGUGUUAUUUAGGAGAAAUUUCUGCGUUUUGGUAGUCAAAUAAGUAAUAGAAGUUUCGGCCUCCAAUUUCAGCCACUUUCGGCCAUUUUUCAGGGUAGGUCCAAGAACAAAAGUAGCUCCAAUUGAUGUCCUGAACCUAGGGUAGGAAGCUUGGCCAUUAAUUUUGAGAAUUUUCCAGCGAUCGUUAUCGGUUUGGGCACCUGCGCGCUGCUAGCGCGUGUGGUGGAGCGUAGGCACUGUAGCAAAGGGGCAUUGUGUCCUAAAAUGAUCUCCUGGGCCUCACGAGCGCGUAGGUACUUUCGGAUUCCUAUUUGGUUAACGUUUGGACCCCAAACGGAUUUUGCCUAUUGUGCGAUUUCCGGGUUCGAUUCAUUUGAACCGUUGGAUCAUAGUCAAUUUCAUAUAUGUUGAUCUAGGUAAUUCCAUAAUUGUAUAUGAUUUGACGGAUCAUAAAACAAAGUCCCGGAUCCUCCGAAAAUACCAACCCUAUGGCUAGGUUUACACUAAUUGUCCGAUCGUGGGUAAUCCGACCGUCCGAUCGAGACCAAACUCUCGGAACAUGUGUCCUAGGAAUUUUGGAACCUCUAGAAACUUUCGGAUCGGUAUUUUGAGGGCGUAGACCCCAUGGGGUCCCGGGUUGACUUUUUGAGACUUUAUCGCUUUUGAGUCUUGUGUCUCUUUUAGACCAUCCUAAAUAUGGGAAAAGCUCAUGUGGGCAUAGGAAUGACUUUAAACUCGAGGCAUGCACUUCUAGGAGCGGGGGUCAUUGUUUCGGAUUAAAUAAUGAUGUUGAGUUCUAUUGGAAGUUGAUAUAAAGGUCGGGAUAUGGUUUUCAAACCCAUUACAGGAGUAACCCCUAGUUGCUUUGAAACAGUUUAUCAUUUAUAAAUAUUGCCCCACGAGUUCCACGGACACUCGAACCAUGUGGUGUGAUGAAUGCGGCUCAGGCUGACUAAUGGUCCCCUGAGGCCUGCGAGGAUUACGACUCGGAUAGAAGUAGUAUGUCUAAGGCCUGCAAGGAUUACGGCUCAGAUAAAAGUGGUAUCUCCGAGGCCUGCGAGGAUUGCGGCUUGGAUAGAAGUGGUAUCUUUGAGGCCUGCGAGCAUGGAAUUGACGAUAUUAAUAGAAUUGACGGAUCAGGAAUAGGGGUACGACUAGGUGGAGAGAAUUUCAGUUAUGAGAUAUUCAAGCACCUUAUUAAAGGGGAAGAACUACGUGUGGCUUGAUCCCUUGUUGAGGGUACGUAGGCAAUCUAGAAUUCUAGGUGCAGCCACGAGGUCAAGUAAUAAAGUUAGUCCAGUUGAGUUAUUAUGAAAUCUAAUACAGUUCUAGAGAUUUUAUAAGAAAUUGAAUUGAAUGUUGUUAGCAGAAUGAUUUAUUCGAUUUAUUGAGGCCGGAGGCUAGAAUAAUAAGAUGCUUGAUUUUUGGAUAUAAUUUGAUACAUGCUGGCAGUUGGGUUAAUAUAAACAUAUAUGCUUGUUUUACAGGUGGGAAUUUUUGGGAAAUGUUCAAUUUAGAGGGGAGACUCUAUUGAAUUUUUAGCAGAAGUCGUACUUGAAUUUCAUUGAAUUUUGGUUAGAAGGGCUUUUUGGUCAAUUGUGUCCGGCAACCACCAGGUGUCGGACACGCACAUAUACUAAGUACUGGCCUAGCUUCUUAAGAGCAAAAUUUUAAUCAAUUUUUUGCUUUAGUUUAUGUGUUGAAGGUAGUGUAGAGACGUAGAGAAGAAACAAAAUAAUUAUCUGAAAUUCAAACAUACAAAGCCAAAACCAGGGAUAAGAAUAUAACGAUAUAAACGAUAACAUUAAUAUUUAGCAAACUUACAUAAAAGCAGAAGGGCAAUAGUGCUUAACAAAAGCUUCGCAGAAGCAGCACUUGGAAUAUAAAAACACUCAAACACUCAAGCACUCAAACACUCCAAAGUACAAAGUUUAUUUCUGGAGGUGAUAAUUUUGCGAUGAUCUACAACUGAGGAGAGGUCCUCCUUUUAAAGCUUCAGGGCUGUUGUCGUGUCAAAUAAAGACAAUAAGUCACAAAUCAGCCUACAGUAGAGCUGCAUCUUCACUUUGAGGAUUCUCGCUGAACUUUCCCGCAAACAGUCAAAAAGAAAAAGCAAACUUUUUAUAAAAGCGAAAGCAGAGCUAAAGCAGAAGAAUCUUGCUUUAACCAGAGGAAAAAUACAGUUAAACGACAAGAAAGAAAAAACUACAAUUUUACAAAUUGUCUCUUAUCAGACAUAAUAUUACUGAGCCCACCAUAAAGCUCCGUAUGGAAAUUGUCCAUGUCUUCAUUAGCAAAAGGGUCCACCUCAUCUUCAGGCUGGGUGGCAGAUGCUGAAGCCAUAGAUUCGUCAUCCAGAUCGAGAAUUUCAAGGACUUUCUUUUUCAACUCUUCUUUAGAAGAUGAUGAUCCUGGCUGGUCUAUCCACAGUUGCAACUUUUGGGAAACAGUCAGAUUAGAAGAAGUGACCAAAGGCAGAGCAGCAGCAGAGGCGGGAGAUGGGAUAAGAGCUGGGACGAUCUUGGUGGGAGCCAGGUGAUCCCUAGUGAAUUUAUCCCACUAUCCGAUUAAGAUACUUCAGACUAAAUUUGGAAUAUAAGUCCAUUCCUCAUCAACAUCCUCCGAAAUAAUAUAUUCCCAUUUUAAUAUACAUGGUAGUUCAUACAUUAUCAUGAACCACAUGAAUAAGGUCCUUUAAUCAGGAUGGUUUUUAUUCCAUUUGCAAAAUUUCAUUUGAAAAUAUUCCUUAAUUUCAGGAGGAAGGUAUUCCAAAGUAGGACCCCAAAUCAGAAAGAAGCUCUUGAACCAAUUAGGAAGUUCUUUAAGAGCUCUAAGCUUAAACUGGAUAAACCAAGUAUGAGAAUAUUUUUGCUUUUGGAAACAUAAAACAUAUUCCCAUGCCUUUUUAUAAUCCCAUAAAUUAUAGGAAUAUGGCCAAAUUUCAAGAUGGAUAAAUCUCACUACUACAAAAAAGCAAAAAGACGACGGUAAAUCAUCGUCGUGUAUUCGGUUUUCCAAUGGUCGUGGAAUCCACCGUCAUCUUUUCCCUCAUAAACCACGACGCUAAAUCACCGUCGUUGUUAAAAUAUACAACGUCAUCAACAAAUACAAAACGACGUCUUUGUACUGCAAAAAGAUCUAAAAAAGCAGUCGAGGAUGAGAACAGGCGACCAACUCUCUAAAAACACCGUCGUUAAAAAGGAAAAAUAUGACACAUAUUAACAGAACAAGGCCGCAAGAUAGACAUACAACGACGAAAAUUAAAAUAAGACGCCGUUAAAUAUCAUUUUCACGACAAUAAAAAAUAUGGCGUCUUUAAAUACAUUAGAAGACGACGUUAUUGAUACCUACUACGUCGCCUAUAUAAAAACAGCCGUCGUAAAAUAAAUUUUCCACUUCGAUUUUUCUAUAAAAGAUGACGUGGAAAUAGUUGUCAGUGUCAUUAUUUACGACGUAUGUAUUUAUAGAGUAGACGUUGAACAACGAAACAACGUCGGUUACAAAUAUAUGAGAGUCGUAUUACAAAAUUUAUACGUCCUAUUUUCAGAAACAAACAACAACGAUAAAUAUUAGACGUUGUUAAAUAAAACAACGUCGAAAACAAAUAAAAACACACUUGUUUAGUCUGCUAAAGUUCUAAAAAAUAGUCGAGGAUGAGAAUAGACGACCAACUCAAAUAAAUCACCGUCGUUAAAAAGGAAAAAUAUGACACAUAUUAAAAGAACAAGGCCGCAAGAUAGACAUACAACGACGACAACUAAAACACUACGCCGUUAAAUAUAAUUUUCACGACAAGAAAAAAUAUGACGUCUUUAAAUACAUGAGAAGACGACGUUAUUGAAAUCUACUACGUCUCUUAUUUACAAACAACCGUCGUGAAAUAAAUUUUCCACUUCGAUUUUUCUAAAAAAGAUGACGUGGAAAUAGUUGUCAGUGUCAUUAUUUACGACGUGUGUAUUUAUAUAGUUGACAUUGAAAUGCGAAACAACGUCGGUGGCAUUUAUAUAGUCGACGUUGUAUUUAUAUGUAUUCAUUACUCACGACGCACUUAUUAAUAUAGACGACGUUGAACUUCUAAACAACGUCGGUUCCAAAUAAAUGAGAGCCGUAUUACAGAACAUAUAGACGGCGUUGAUUAUGAUGAGAGCCGUAUUACAAAUAACGUCGAUUAAUUGAUAUUAGACGGCGGUUAUAAUGAAUUACCGUCGGAAUUCAUUUCGUUCCUCUUCGUUUAUAAAAGAACUUGCGACGUGGAAAAUGUAUGAUGACGUCGUAUUUUUUAACAUUCAGAUUAUAUAUCUCGUUUUUUAGACGUCGAUAUUAUGGGAUUGGAGUCGUGUUAUUUUGAAUUACAUGGCGGUUCUUAAUCCUUCCCCGACGUGAUAUCCUGAAUAAUUACUUCACAAUAGCGUCGUGGUUCUUCAUUGUUACGUUGCUUUAAGACGUCGGUAAAUAUGCUGAAUAACUGGUUCACAAUAACGUCAUGUUUUAUUUGAACAGACGUCGUUUUUUAUGCAGAAUAUAAUGAUGUAAUCUGGAACCAGUAUUUUUUGCACUGAUUGUUUUGUGGCCAAAACCUGUAUAAUGAAAGUGAAGAAAUCACAUUACAAUAUAUUACAAAAUUAAUGUCAUACACUGCCAAUUAGGGGUGGGCAUUAGAACCGCAAAACCGCAAAACCGAACCAAACCAAACCGAAAAAAUCCGGAAAAAACCGUGUUGACUAAAAAAGUCAAAAACCGAGUCAAAUCUGAACCGGACCGGUUCAGACCGGUUCCGGUUCCGGUUUUCUACUACAAGGAACCGUCCAAUCCGAACCGGUCCAAUAUAAUUAAUUAAUAUAUAUUUUUUAUAUUUUAUAUAUUUAUAUUUUAUAUUUUAUAUAUAGUUAACAUGUGGCUGUUUUGUAUUGGCUAUCUAAAAUACUACCGUACGCACACAUACACAGGAUCAUCACAACUAAAACACACGAUUUAGGGGUUUCUUCUUCCUUCUUCGAUUUUUUUCCUCUCCCUCUCUCUGAUUUCAGAGCCGCCGAACCCGAAGAACCUUUCCUUUCCUCUGCGUGAAACCAUUGUUGCAGCCAUCCUUGUUCUUCUUCAGCCGUCGCGCCGUCGUCCUCGUCACGCAAGCAGGUUCAAUUCUUCUGGCUUUCUUUUUUCUUUGUUUUUUCGUUUUGUUUCUUUUCCCCCUUCGAUUCUCUGUCUGACCAUCUCUAUGUCCUCCAUCAGCAGUUCGUGCAGAUCAUCAUCCAUAUUUCUGGAGUAGGUUGCAGCUUCGCACUCCUUUUUUUUUCUCCCAUUGACGCAGCCGUCCGUGCACUCCUCCUCGUCAGUUUUCCAUUGAAGACUCUCUCUGGACUCCAAGAGCAGAGAGCUGCUUACUUGGGCUCUGGUCAAAGUGGCUGGUUUUUUUUUAAAAAAACUAACUGGUUUUGAUGAAUUGGGUAUGUGUAGAAAUUGUGGAUCAAGAUGGGAAGUCGUCACUUCUUUCCCUGUGAAAGCGUUCGACUCUGUUGUUCUUGCCAUCUAUGAAGGUUUCUGCAACUUGAAACAGGUUCAUUUCUCGCAAAUUUUUGUUCUUUUAUUCGUUGGGAUUUUGUUGUCCUUUUGUAUAUUUAGUUAUAUCCUCUGGUUGUUUGCUUAGAAAAUGAAAGAGUGAAAGCACGAAUCAUAUUUUAUUUUAUGUUUUCCACUACUUGAGAAGUUCAAAGUUUCAAAACAAUUAAGCCAAGUUGUUAAUCUUCAAUAUUGUUAUCUCUGUUUGCAUUUGUAUUUUUAUCAAACUUUCAUGACUGUAUAUUUCUUCUGCUCAUUAUUUGUUUAGGGAAUUAGAUAUGGUGUUUCGGUUUGUGCUCAUAUUGUGCAUUCAAUUUUUUCAAUUUUGCAGUUUUGCAGAUUUUGAGAUUUUCAGUUUUUCGUUUUGCUUUAUUACUGCUGUCAUAGGCAACUAUUUUGAGAAAUUGGCUUGCUUAGGGUUCUUUGUUUUUUCGUGCUGAAUCCAAUGAUGCAAAGAAUGUCAAAAUUGGGCUAGUGGUUUGAAAGCUAAAGGCUAAAAACUGAACAGAUGUUAGAUUUGUCAAAACUGCAAUUUGAAACCCUUUAUUUUCUUGCUUGGCUCAAGUCUAGUUAAUUGGUUUCUGUUUUUCAGUUGCUUUCUAGUUAAGUGUUGUUAGCUUGUAGUUGACUUUUGUUUGUUGUUUCGGUUUGAUUUACUAGUGUGCAUUCAAAUUUAUUAAUUGGUUGUGCAUUCAAAUGGAUUAAUUGAUUAAUUGACAGUGUAUAACAGAUUUGCUGCAAUAUUUUUCAGUUUUUCAGUUUUGUAGUUUUUCAGUUUUUCAGAUUUUCAGUUUUGCAUAUUUUCAGUUUUGGAUUGAAUUUGGAUUGUAUUUUUGUUGAAGUUGGAUUCAUUUUGAUGAUGUUGAAGUUGGAUUGAAUUUGGAUUGAAUUUUUGUUGAAGUUGGAUUCAUUUGAAUUUGGAUUGUAUUUUUGUUGAAGUUGGAUUCAUUUUAAUGUGUUGAAAGCUUGAUGGAACCUCAAAUUUGGGGUAUGUUAGUAUAUAAAAUACAUUUUGGGCAGAUUUGUUAAAAUUUAAAAAAAAAAAAAAAAAAAAAAAACCGGAACCGCAGGAACCGAACCGGAACCGGACAGGUCCGGGUUGGUUCGGAUUUCUGUAUGGAUGUUGAGCAGAACCGGUCCAAACCGAACCGGUCUGCACUAUCGGAUCAGGUUCCAUUUUUCCCCCGGAACCAGUCCAAACCGAACCGUGCCCACCCCUACUGCCAAUUACAUAAGCAUCAUUCAAUCCAUAUAUCUUCACACCCAUCUCGAAUAUUUUGACCACCUAACUCACCCACCAGUUCAUCAAAUGUGUCAACAUUUGGCAUCCCUCUAGUAAAUGGCUCACACUCAAUUAUCACAUCACCUAAGACUUCAUCACCAAUAACAUCAUUAUAUUCUCUAUUAGGCAUUGAUAACACUACCGACCAACCAUGAUGCAUCGGGUCGUCAACAAAAAAUAUUUGUUUGACUUGAGAAGCCAAAACAAAUUGGUCAUUCCUAUGUCCAAUUUUACUCAAAUCUACAAGGGUAAAUCCAAGUUCGUCGACUACAAGACCAGUACUAUCUAUCCAAUCACACCUAAAGACUGGGAUUGUAAACUUUUGGUAGUCAAGGUCCCAAAUUUCUUGAAUGACACCAUAGAAACCCAUAUUUGAGAGAAUUGGGUUUUUAUCCUUGGCACUAGCAACUUGCAUGGUAUGUGCAAGUAAAUAAACUCCACUAUUUUGAGUUGUCCGCACAUCAUCUCGUGCCUUGAUAUUGAAUUUAAUACCUUUAAUAAGAUAGCUCCUAUAUAAUGGCAUUGCCAUGUUUGGACCAGCUGCUAGCCACUUUAAAUUUUCUGAUACGCCAUGAUUGUCUUCCUCAAGUUCACUUUGAACCUACAAAUUAAUCAUAUCUUAAUUCAAUCUAACAUAGAAAUAAGAAGAAAAUUAAAAGAGAAAUAUGUUAUUCAACAACAUAUACCUUGAAGCGUAGCCAUUGAAUGAAAGUGCUAUUGUGCUUAUCCUGCAGCCACUUUGUUCUCUUUCUAAAUUUUGGAUAAGCAGUCUUGAUGUGGAUCAUAUGUUGCCUACAUGACACGAAAAAUUCAAGCAUUACGGUCCCAAAUAUAUAAGCUAAACAUAAGAAAUAAUUUAAAAUGGAAACUUAAAGAAUAAAACUCAUACGUACUCGAUAUAAGGUAGGACUUCCUCCGUAUUCUCCAAGACAUAUAGAUGUGCUUGAUUCAACAGGUCCUGUUCAAUCGUUGUCGUAUGCCUAAAAAGGCGUAGUGUCUCAGUUUAUUUUCAAGAACCCAAAACCCAUUAAGAACACAACAUAUAUAUGAAACCAAGCAAGAAACCAACAUAUACAUGAAACCAAGCAUGAAAACAAUAAAUCCAUUCCCAAUUCAACAUAACAUAGGGUGAUUAAAAGAUCCGACAAAAUUAAAUCCAUUCCCAAUUCAACAUAACAGAUAAUGUAAUCUAUGAACCCAUUAAACAGAAAAUCCAUGAACCCAUACCUGCACAUUAUUAACAGAUCGCAAAGCAUAUACCUAAAACCCUUUAAUAAAACAACCUAAUAUCAUUCAAUGAAUUUACAAGGGGAAGAUAGGGUUUGUACUUACAGGUUGGACGAGCUCACAGAUUCGACGGAGCCUGGAAAGUGCAACUUUUAAUUAGAGCAGAAGUGAGAGAGCGAAAUGUUAUGUUGCGCGAAAUCUGAAAAUUUUAGGGUUCAGGGUUAGAAGUAUAAGAAUAAGAGCCAAAUCUAAAAAAUUUAGGUCGCGCGAAAAUUUUUAGAGAGCGCGCUCUUUAAAACGUCGAAAGAAAAACCAUAGCGAAAGUUCUACAAGAACCGACGUAAAUGUAAUAUUCCACGACGGAAACACUGAACGUAGCGCCGUUUAUUUUGACGCUUGAUUUUUCGGAUUAAUUUUAAAUUAAUUUUGAAUAUUUUGAUAUAAAGACGACUGAAAAACCACGUCAGGGUUAAGAAAUUGAAGACGUUGUAAAUUAUAAUAGAUGACUUAUAUAUUAAAAUGACGUCAUUUAAAGUAGAAACCAUGUCGGAUAUUUUACUGCACGACGUAACAUAUGUAUUCCACGACUCAACCACCGUCGUUAAAAAUUAAUACCCUAAACCCUUAAAACUAAAUUAUAUAAUUUAAAAUUUUAAGUUUAUAAAAGGGUUUAUGGUUUUACAGCCUAAUAUAUACCCUAUACUACUCAAAAAUUAUACUUUAAAAAUAAACCCCAAUAAAUAACAACCCUAAUCUCUAAACCCUAGACUCUAAACCCUAAAGCAUAAAACUAGAAGUGAUUUUAUGACUCAUCAAAACAAUUUUGUUUUGGAUGGUCAUUUUAAAUUUUUGUUAUUCAAAAUGAAUUUUUUCAAGGUUUAGGGGGAAGAAAAUAUAUCAAUGACUUCAUAGGAGUUGACUUUGCAUUUUUCUGAUUUAUUUUAAAUUUAUUUUGAAUAUUUUGAUAUAAAAAUAAUAAAAUAUUCUUAUCACAACAACAAACCACGUCGGUGUUAAUAAAUUGUAGACGUUGUAAAUUGUAAUAGACGACUAAGUUGUUAAAAUGACGUCGUUUAAAUGAGAAACCAUGGCGGAUAUUUAACUAUCCGACGUAAAAUAUAUAUUCCACGACUUAACCGCUGUCGUUACAAAGUACUACCCUGAACCCUUAAGAAAUUGAAGACGUUGUAAACCAUAAACGACUCAAUUGUUCAAAAAACGUCGUCUAAAUAUCUUUUUACGUCGGAUUUGUUUAAAACGAAACAACAAAAAACGACAGUUUUUGACUUUAUUAGGUCGUUGGAAAAGUAUUACACGUCGGUUACACAAUUUGUAUGUUUGUUUUUUUUUUUAAUUUAAGAAAACCCCAACAAAUUUUUACAUUAUAUAUUAUAGACAAAAUUUGUACAUUAUACAUAAAUAUCAAGUGGUCAAUAAUUCCCCUAUUCCAUGUGAAGGCAAACAAACUCUGCCCAUUCAUUCCGGACUUCAUCAAUUGCUUCUUGGGGGUAUGGCGCUUCCUGUUUUCCCUUGGCAUACUGCAUAAACAAUGACUAUUAGGGUUUAUAAAUAAAAAGAAAUUCAAUCACAGACGAUGAUAUUUUUCAUAACCGACGUAGUAUAUCUAUUCAACGACGGUAAUUUUACAUGACCGUCGUUGAUAAUACAAAAAACGACGUAAAAUGUAUGAAGGUAAUUUCUUCUUACCUUCUUCUCAAACCCCAAGGAAGGAUCCAUGAUGAUGUCCCUCAUGAAACGCAUCACAUAAUACCCGCAUUCGACACUGCUGGGUUGCUUUGGUGUGCCUGACAGAGUUUUCCAAAUUACUGUUUUACGGCCUGAUCUGGCUAUGUGAGAAUUAUAUAUUUUUAUAGCACUGUUCACGAUGUUUUUGCCCUCUUCAUCGACCACACGAUUUCCAGGCAGAGGAUCCAGAAAAUAGACGGUUUCCCUCUUUGCUCUCACAAUCAGCAAGAUCCAAUGACAGCUGCACAAAAUUAAUAUAAAAACGACGGUUAUUUACAAAAAUGACGUAUUAUAAUAUUUCACAAGACGAAAUAAAGUAGCAAUCGACGACAUUAUAUAUUUAUCACGACGAUAAAUAACUACCGACGUGGUUAGUAGUUUCAAACAACUCAAUAAAAUAAAACACCGACGUGGUUAGUUUAUACGCUGUCAUUUAUUGAAAAUCAUAAAAACAAAAUCCUGUUAAAGAGACUAACCCUGGAUUGUAAGGCAUCAUGAAAAUCUGUUCACCAUCAGUCUUCUGAAGUCGAGCUGCUACCAAUCGUGAUCUGUCAGCUAUUGUCCCAGAGUUGGCACUAACUGUAGCAGGGUCGAUAAAGCCAACCAUGCUGCACAUAUUUGCUUGUUUCAAAAGAUCAUGUAAGUACCUAAAUAUAUAAAAUAAUAUAAACAAGUCAGCACAAAAAAACACACGACGGUUAUGUAUAACAAAACGACGUAUUAUAAAAUUUCACACGACGUACUGAAAUAGACAACGACGUUAUAAUAUAUUUAUCACGACGGUACAUACUAACGACGUGGUUAGUUAGUUAAGACGACGCAAUAAAUAAACCAACGACGUAUUAUUUUAGAAUGACAAACCUCAUAUAUACAGCAACCACAGUAGCUCCUAUUUCUUCCAUGCCUGCAAAUUGUGUAAUAUCUUCAGGCAGAACGAAGGUAUCGCGUUCUAGACCAAACACCUCCUUAUCAAUUGUAAAGUUCAGGGUCUUAUCCUGAGGCACGAGUGUCGUUUCCACAUAACGACAAAGGGAUUUUAAAGAAGAUGGCGCCUCCACAUUUGAAUAAUCAACAACUUUAAUAACCUGUUUAAAGAAAUAAAAAAAAUGACGUGGUAAUUCAAUAAAAACGACGGUUUAAGGAAUAAAACGUCGUCUGAAAAGAAUUUAAACGACGGUGAAAAAACCGUCGUGGUGAAUAAUUUAUUACGUCUUAGAAAAAAAUUCCGCCGUCUAAGUUGUAAACAAACGACGGUUUAAAGAAAAAAAUUCCGCCGUCUGAAAUUUUGAAAAACAAAUAAAAAAGGCAAAGUUAUGUGAACAUACCUGGUUGUCAUGCUUUUCUUCAUCUUCUUUCUCCUUUUCAUCUUGUUUUUCUUCUUUCUUCUCUUCAUCUAUUACGCCGGGAAUGACUAACACCGUCGUCUAAAAACCACAAAGUUUUAAAAAUAACGACGUUUAAUGGCGUGUAAAACAUGUAAACUAAAUACGACGUGGUAUUGAAAUACAAACGACGGUUUAUUUUUAAAAUCGUCGUGGUAUGUAUUUCAAACGACGGUUUUAUUAAUAAUAACGACGUCUAAUAGUUUUUAAAAAAACAGAGAAUUCAAAGUUCAGAUAUGUUACCUUUUCUUCCUGAUGUUUCCCAUUUUUGGCAGUAUCAUCCUCAAAAUGUAGGGAUCUCACAUCACCUCCAGAGCAGCUUGCUUUGUCAGACAUUGGAUUUUUGGGACUUUGGCUAAUUCUUGGUUUAAGCAUGCUUGGAUCAAAAUUGAGAAUUAAUUGGAAAAGCUGACUCAGGAAAUGCUCCCUCUCAGCCUCUACCAAUUGUUUGGUUCUAGCCUCCAUCCUUAAAGCCUCUUCCCUUGCCUUAGCUUCCAUCUUUUUAUUCUCUUCUUGAAGGAGAACUCUUAAACUGUCCUUUAAACGGUCGUCAAAGCUCAUCCUCUGUGGUUUGGGUAAAUUGAAAUAUUGCCUUGGGGAAAUCCCAGCACCUACACCUCUCACUCUGCCUGGAUGCUCGGGGCCCAAAGCCAUGGUCAGCACAUCAUUGCUGCCAGAUAUACUGACUUUGCCUUCCGAGACUUGUUUUUGCAAUUCAUCCUAAAACAAAGAUAUAUAAAAAAGUAAGAUCAAAAAACACACGACAGUUAUUUAUAUACAAACGACGUAUUAUAUAAUUUCAGACGACGCAAUAACAUAUAAAUCGACGUUAUUAUAAUUUAUCACGACGGUAGUUAUACCGACGUGGUUAGUUUUUUAAAACGACGAAAUGAAUAAACCACCGACGUCUUAUGCUUUAUUUACAGGUAACAGAGGGAUGAUUCAAUAUUCACACCUUUAACGACCUUGUUUAAAACAUUUCGACAUAGUAAUUUAAUACAAACGACGCGAAAAUGAACCAUCGACAUCUUAUGCUAUAAUUACAGAAAAUAGAGUACUGAUUCCUGAUUUAGACCUUUAACGACGUUUUUUAAAAAAUUUCGACGUGGUAAUAUCAUUCACACGACGCAAAAUAUAACAUAAGACGUAAUAAGAAUUAUUCACAGUUUAAUAAAAAUUUAAAACAGAGUGAGUAGGCUUACAAUUAAUUUUGCUUUCUCUGCCACCUUUGGAUUCGGGAUGUUACCAUGUUUGUCCUGUCUAGCUCUCUUCCAUAAGGUAGAUCGAUCAAUUUCUACCCCAGGCAUGGUUUCCUCCAAUUGAUCCUCCAAACCAGCAUAUCCUUUUCGAGACCUCUUCCCUUGCCUUAGCUUCCAUCUUUUUAUUCUCUUCUUGAAGGAGAACUCUUAAACUGUCCUUUAAACGGUCGUCAAAGCUCAUCCUCUGUGGUUUGGGUAAAUUGAAAUAUUGCCUUGGGGAAAUCCCAGCACCUACACCUCUCCCUGUCAUUGGUGUAUCGAAGGAUAUAAUGCCUCGUUAGUGUAGACUUGAAAUCCUUCCAUUUCUUGGCAGCAGAAGCUAACACAGAGUUCUUGCCCCCUUGACCUACCACAAAAGCAAUGUCAACUGCUUCCCAAAUCUGCUCCUUUAUAUCCUUGGGGAUUUGAGCCCAUUUCAUGUCCACAAGUGGAACUCUGGAGCGUGCCAACACACCAAUGUAGGACUGCAUCUCACUAUGUGCUUGGCCAAUUCCUUUCCCCCUUUUAUUGUACUCAACAAUUGGCCUGAGUUUCUGAAGUUUUCUCUUCACAACACGAGGCAUUGUGCUCAUACCUCGACCAGACUUUGAAUCAUCAGAGAUUGUUGUCGUGCUGGUUGGUUCUGUCUCAGCAGAUGAUGAAGCAAACUUCAUCUUCUUCGAAGACUUCUCUUGAGGAGUUACCAUUCCAAGCUCCUUACCUCCAUUUUUCUUGGAGCCAGAGUCCUUACUUUGGUCUUGAGAAACCAUUUUUACAGACAAAACUGCAAGUGAAAAUAUUUCAGGAAAAGAUUAAGAACACAAACGACGGUUAUUAAUAAAAUACGACGUAUGAUAUGAUUUUAAACGACGCAAUGAAAUAAUCUCAGACGUAAUAAAUGUUUAAAACCAAGGUAAUUAAACAACGACGAAAUAAUAUAAAAUAAGACGUAAUAAUAACUUAUUACGUCGAUAUUUACCGGACGACGUGAUAAUUAACUAUAAACGACGAAAUAUUUAUAUAACGUCGUGGUAUUGAUGUUCACACGACGUCAAUAGUAAUAUACCGUCAUCUAUAUAAGGAUCCAAAACCCUUCUUUCUUUCUCUGUAAAUGUUUGAUUGCAGAUUUGAUUUUUCUGAACCAUGGUUUUUGUUUUCUAAUUUGAUAAAAUACAAGGCCAAGAAAGAAAAUUUUGGAAUCUUAUAUAGACGACGGUAUUUUAAUAUGACGUCGUGGUAUUAACAUUCACACGACGUAAAACAAUAAGAUACUGUCGUCUAUAUUAGAUACCAACCCUACUUUCUUUUUCUUUAUAUUUUAUCAAAUUAGGGAAAAACAAAAACCAUUGUUCAGAGAAAUCAAACCUGCAAUUAAACAAGCAAAUAAAAAAAAGACUAUAAUUUUAAAAACAACUUUGUCAAUUUUCAGACGACGCUAGAACGACUGACGAACCGUCGUGGUCUACAUAUUUAACCACGUAAAUAAGAAGCUACCGUCGUCUUAUUUAGUUGAGGUAGUUGUCUUCAAAGUAGGAAACUUUCCCUCUUUGUCUGUAUAUUUUAUCAAACUUGGAAAGAAGUAAAAUGAUUUUGGCCAGAAAAAAGGUAAAAAGAUUUUUCAAAUAAAAAACGUAUGAGCAUGCAAAACAGCAACCAAAAUAGUGAAAAUGAAAGCUUACCUUUUGCGUGCAAUGAAAGCAAGAGGAAGACGAUGUUUAAGUUUAGAGACGACGAAGAAGACGAGAGGAAGACGAUGAGAUACUCUGACAGUGUUCUGACAAGGAAAAAAGACAAAAAGUUUUCUCUGGGAGAUUGAAAUUUUUAAUCGGGUUUGGAAAUAGUGCAUGUGUAAGUCAGGUAGACGAAAAGUUGCUUACAUAUAAAACCAUUUUAAAAAAAUAAUACGGCGGUUACAUAUAACUACGACGUAUAAAUUACAAAAUACGACGGUACAUUUAACUUCGGACGUGAUAAAUAAAUACGACAGUAGAGUUGUAGGUACCGUCGUAGUAAACUCAAAAAUUAAAGUACAUAAGUAAUAACUCACGUCAUGGUAGAUUAUUUAACACGUCGUUUUUAUUAAUGUACCGACGUGGAUUUCUGUAAUAUAUGUCGGUCAUACCGACGUUGAUUUUACAAUUUAAACGGCGGUUUUUUUGUAAGGACCGCCGUUGGUUUUAAAAAUUUAUUCUAUAAAUUUGUCGCUUUCAUUCAUUUUCGGUUUACAUUUAGGGUUCCAAGUUCUUCCUCUCUCAGAGACACUGUCUCUCACAUCUCAAAGACAAUAAUUUGGAUGUCUUUCUCAAAGAGAAAUUGAGCUUACUCGCAUCAAAUCUAUGUCCACAAGAAGAAGCUUGUCAACUAGCCUUCUCACUUCCUUGAUCAAGCCUGAUAGGACACUUAGUGCUUCUGAAUACUCCUUGCUUUCCAUCAAAAGAGAUGCAAGCCUGGCCUCCACUCGCUGUCGAAGGAAAGUUCGCUUCUCAGGGAAAUCUGAAGAUCAGAUGUGCCUGAUCCUCUGCUUGAUUUUCUUGGCUAAGAAGAUCCGUCAAAUUUAUGAUAGCCUCUUCCUUUAUCCGUAGAGCUUCAGAAGAAGAAGAUGGGAUUCAAGAAUGCGAUAAAGAAUAGAAAUGGCUUCAGAUGGCCUCUAAAGCAUGAGCAAUCGAAUCAGUAGUUGCUGGGAGAUAUGAUGAAGACAUUGUCAAUGCUUUGAACUAUACAAGUCCUGCAGAAAGAUAAAGGACCAAACUGUUAAAGAAACAGAAACAACGGCGGUUUUCUGUUCUACCGUCGUCUUUUCUCGUCGUCUAUAUUAAGGUAAGAUGGCGGUAGAUUUAUAAUUACCGACGUAGAUUAUUUUGUUAAACGUCGUUAAGUGUAAUACAACCGACGUGGAUUUUAUUUUUAAAUUAUAAAUAGAGUUUUUUUUUCCGAAUUCUUUCAGUUUUAGUUUUCAAUUACAAAGCGUGAUAAAUAGAUUUUUCUUUCCCGAGGAAAUUUAAAAUGAGGGAAAUUAAUGUUCUAGAAUUUGUAAACUAACACGACGCAAUAUUACUAACCCGAGGAAAUUAUAAAUAGAUUUUGCUUUCCCGAAGAAAUUUUAAAUUAAUUCAGUUUGAAACAACGACAGUUUUUUGUUAUGCAGUCGUUUUUAACUAACACGACGCAAUAUUUGUUUUGCGACGUGGAAUCUUUUCAUUUAACGUCGUUAGGUUUAAUAUAACCGCCGUGAAUUUGAAUUUUUAAAUUAUGAAUAGAAUUUUUUUUUCCGUGACCUUUCAGUUUAUUUUUCAAUUACAGUGCGUUAUAAAUAGAGUUUUUUUUCCGGAGGAAAUUUAAAAUGAAGGAAAUUAAUGUUCUGGAAUAUGUAAAGUUUUUUUUUUGGAUGACAGAUUUAAAUAAAAUAAGAAUAUAAAAACAACGACUGUUUUUGUAUUACUGUCGUCGUUUUUCGUCGUCUUAAGUAAGACUCAGACGACGUAAUAUAUUUGUUGAGCGACGUUGAUUUGUUUUUUAAACGUCGUUAGGUAUAAUAUAACCGUCGUUGAAAAUUGUCUCUCUGAUUGCAAAUUUACAACGACGUUAGGUAUAAUAUUUGUAGAUACACAAACGCACACACAUCAUCAACUUCCAAAAAAUUGUCUCUCUGAUUGCAAAUCUGUGUCAUCUGUUAAGAUUAUGAUGUGGAACAGAGUUCCAUCUGGUAAGAUUUCGUAACCCUUGGGAUCUCAGAAAAAUCUGAUUAUGUCGGCGGUUUUCUAUAUAAACCGUCGUGGUUAUUUCAAUUCUUGUCAUUAAGUAGAUCUACCGACGUAGGAUAAGAAAAUCAAAGAAAAAAAUUGUUAACAAAAAUUCUUAUUAAGACGACGGUUUAAAUUAAAGGUACGACGUAUAAAAUGAAUAAAUACGACGUUAAAUUUUAUACGAUUUAAAGAUAACGUCGUAGAACUAUACGAGAAUGACGUCGAUAUAUUUAUAUUUUCCGUCGUUGUACAUUAAUUUAAUACGGCGAUAUUUUGUAUUUUAAAGCCGUGGAUUUGUUUGUAAUUAUACGGCGUCUUAUACGAAAACCUCGUCGUGUUAUUUUAUGAGUAAAAACGGCGGCUUUUAUGGAAAUCGUCGUCUUUACUUUCUACGUCGGUCGAUUCAUAACUUCUGCCGUUCUUUGUUGGCUUUGAUUUUACACUGCGGAAAUCUGUUUCAAAUAGACGUCGGUUGUUUAAUUAGGUACGUCGUUGUUUUUGAACAGCCAUUUGAAUCUCCAUUUUUUAGUUGUCUAAGGUGGUAUUACACGACGGUGUUUUUAGAACCGUAGUCUUUUUAAAAACCACGACUGUUUUCACUUUGACCGUCGUUGUUUUCUGGUUGUCUUUUUCACUUUUUGUAGUAGUGUCUUUUGGCCCUUUCAGGGCUAGGGCCCCAUUCUUCCAAGAAAAUGACAUUUAGGAUUUGGAUUUUGGGGAAUGCUAUGGUGUUAGCAUUUUCACCUCUAUGACGAUGAACGAUAUUAACAGACUUAGUUUCAAUUAGAAGAGUUUCAUAGAAAAUACAAGGCUUAUUCAAUGGAGGAAGAUUAUCCCUUAAAUAUUUUUUACCCAGAAAAUUUGGGUGUUUAUCUAGAUCAUUCAUUUCAAUGAUUGCUAUAGACAUAUUCAUAUAUUCACGGAAUGGAUUUUCAGCAAUCUGCUUCUCCUUACCCUUAUUAUAUGGAGAAGAAGACAUUAGUGGCUUUGGAUCAUUAGGGGAUGACUUGGUAAGAGCAGAAGAGCUUUUACUUGGAGUCAUUUGUCUGGAACUUCUGGUUUGCACCUUGCAAAAAUUCUCGAGUUAAAAAGUCCGGGAGUGUGUUAGUUUCAUCUUUAAUAAAUUCAAUAUCAAAAUCGAAAGCAGAAACAAUUCCUUGCCAUCUUGCAAAAUUUUGUUUAGAUGCUAGAUUUUUAACAUCCUUGAACAAAAUGUCUUUGGCCGCCUUGCAAUCUACUCUUAUAAAAAAUUUCUUGUUUAAAAGAUCACUUUCAAAUUUAGAGACAGCAUGGAUGAUGGCUAACAUUUCUUUCUUAACAGUGGAAUAAUUCUUUUGAGCUGGUUUCCAAACUCCAGAUGUGAACCUAACUAAUUGUUUCGAGUUAUCAACCCUUUGUUUUAAGAUUCCCCCAUACCCUAUUUCUACAAUUUUAAAGGGAACUUAUCAGCAAAGGAUAUUGCUCUAUUAAUCGGAACUAUUAGUCGCUUAUUAAUAUUAUGUCCCAAAAAGCGAACUUUUGAAGAAAAUAGUUUCAUUUUCUUUGCCGAUACCACUAAUCCUGCAUGUUUCACAACUUUCAAGAAAAUAUUCAGAUGUUUAAAGUGAUGUUCCAAAGAAUUAGAAUAGACUAAAACAUCAUCAAUAUAAACAAUGGUGAAAGCAUUGUAAGGAUUAAAUAUAUCAUUCAUAAUAUUUUGAAAUUCAGAAGGGGCAUUUUUCAAUCCAAAAGGUAGAAUGUUCCAUUCAUAAUGUCCAAAAGGGACAUUAAAAGCUGUUUUGUACUUGUCCUUUUCGGCGAUCUGGAUUUGCCAAUAUCCCGAUUUCAUGUCAAAUUUAGAAAAGAUAACUGCCUUAUUUAGUCUGUCCAAAAGAUCUUUCUUAUUAAGUAUCGGAUAUCUAACCCAUUUUAAGGCUUUAUUUAGAGGUUUGUAAUUUAUCACCAAUUUGGGUACUCCUCUUUCUAAUUCAGCUGCGUUUUCAACAUAAAAAGAGAAACAGCUCCAAGGAGAUGAGCUUUUCCUGAUUAACUUCUUAUUUAAUAAAGCUUGUAUUUCAAAUUUACAAAUUUUCAUUAGCCUAGCAUUCAUUUGAAUUGGCCUAGCUUUGGUUGGGAUUUUCUUUUCAUCAAAAUCAGGCUCAUAGGGUAAUUCAAUUAUGUGCCUCUUUCUGUUCCAGAAGGCAUUGGGUAUUUCCGCACAAACUUGGCUUUCGAACAUCUUUUGGAUUUCAGCAAUUUUUUCUUUUAUCUUUUUAUUUUGCAGCUGCUCUUCUAUUUUCUUAUGCUGCAUUUCUUCUUUCAAAUGGCAUAGAUAGUUUUCCUUCCUUUUUAUUUUUUCUUGGAUUUCAUUAAUAUACUUAUGCUUUUGGUUGAGAAAACCUAAAGAUUAUAGGUUGACCUUCUACCUCGGUUCUAAUUCCUUCUUCAGAGACAGAAAAAAGGUAAAGCAUAUUAAUGAAUGGUGUUCCUAAUAUAAGAGACGGGUUUAAACCUUUCAUCAGAACAAAAGGAGUUACAAAACAAAUACCCUGAUUGAGCACAGCAGCGUUAGAUAAUUUAAAUUGAAUUCCCAUUUUUUGGCUAUUAACGGCUGUAUGUAGAACCUGGGUAGUCUUCUUGAAAUACCUAGUGGGUACCACUUCCUCAUUUAUACAGUUAAGAUCGGCCUCUGUAUCUAUUAGCCCUUCAAUUGUAUAUUUAUAGGUUCUAUCAACCACAACAGUUAUCAUCGCAUACCAUUUCUGAGCUAUCACUCUAUCUAUGCUAGUGAUGAUUUUCAUGGUACAAACCUGUUCUUCUUGUAGGGAUUCAUUCACAGGUUCUAUUUUCUCUUGAAAUUCUUUCGUUAGAUUUUCAAAUUCUAAUUGCUCCGAUUUUUCCUCUGUAUCUUUUUCCGAAAAUGGGCUAUAGAGUUCUAGAAUUCUAACCCUAUUUUUUAACUCUCUAAGUUCUUCUUUCACAUCAUGAACUUCGCACUGAAGAUCAUUGAGAGUAGGUUCUUUCUUGUGAAUUAUUCAUCCUGUUCACUAUAGUUUUCAACUGGUUGUCUCACAUUAGUUGUAGCUGUCACUUGGUCCUACUUUAGCUAGUGAGAUAUAACUUUCUAACACCUCUCCCUUUUUCUCUGGAUCCUCUAUUUUGUCAAUUAAGUCUAUUACCAGACUCUCUUCUUUAGUUAAAACACAUAUUUUGAGAUCAUUGAAUUGACAGGUGCACUCAGUUUCACUAUCUGAACUAGUGUCAGUAUCAUAUUCAAAUAAUUCUUCAUUUUUGAGUUGAGCUAGUUCGUUAUCAUUAUCUUGCUCAGAAUCAGAGGAAUUAAGCAUUAUUUGGCAAAGUUGUUGCUUGAGUUCUUUGCUAAUGCUUAAGUUACUGAUUUUAUCUUUCAUUUUACAUUCGGAUUUAUAGUGUCCGACUUUUUCACAUUUGUAGCAUGUUGGGACCGCACCUUUCUUUCCUUUACUAGCCUUCUUACUAGUUUUUCCUGCGUAUUUCCUUUUUUUAAAGGUCCUAUACGGUUUCUUAGGCUCAGACUUAGACUCGUAUUUCUCAUAUUUCUUAGUCCUACGCCCCCCAAAUUUCUUUCCCUUUUUAUGUGGUUUAUGUGAAUAUGAUUUUACUGGUUCAAAACUAAAUUGUUCACAAAAGUCUCCUAAUUCUUUUCUUCCCAAGGUUUUCUGCUUAUCAAGCUGUUUCUUUAGUUUCAUGUCUGUGCAUUUGGGCUAAGUGCCACCAUCCUUUCAAUUGACCAACAAAACUCGCGAUAAUAGCUUCAGCCACCCUUCUAUCUCCAUUUCCUUUUUAUCUUAGAGGCUGUAGCGUACAUCAUCAUAUGUUUCAUUGUAUUAAUGAUCUGAUAUUCUGUCAGACCAUCAAUAUUCCAUUCAACUAUGGAGCUUCCGUCAUAUUGAGCGGAAUUCCACAUUCCAUCUUCCUCAAAUUGUAAAUCUACUGGUGCAGGUCUAGGGUAGUAGUUUUUAGUUUUAGCAGUUUGAGUAAAUCUAUUUUCAGUCAUUAACCUAUUUAUUUCAGGUUGUUCUUGUUUAAACAUUGUUUCAAGGUUAUCUAUUUCCUCCUCAGUGAGAACCGACACUUGAUGACCUUUUCUUUUAUCUGACAAAUUUAACCCUGAUAAUUUUUUGGCCAAGGCGUCAACAAAGUUUUCGUCUUCAGACAAAGUCCUUCCCAUCUUAAAGUUUUUUAUUAUCUAAGGCAGGAGGUGGUUUAAAGAAUGCUUGACUCACUUCCUUAUUUCUUUUAGUUUCUGAGGGUCCUGGUUCUGAUUUCUGUUCCUUCAUUGAAACAGAUGUUUCAAUCCUGGUAACUUGCUUUCCUAAAGAUUGCAAAAAUAGGUUGGUGUAGUUAUUCUGCUGAAUGACCGCACCUAUAUCUUCUUUACUGGCUGUGCAAAAAUUAUUGGCACUAUCUUCAAGGAAAGUAGUUUCUUUGUAGGGAGCUGCAAUUACGUCCUUUUGUUUUAUCACCAUCUCGGGUGGAUGUCUGGCUUUGACUAACUGUCCAUCUUUGGAAGUAUAAGUCAAAAAUGGGCUUCCUAUCAUUUCUAUAUUAUUCAUGUAUUCAUGAAUGUUAUAUUUUUUAGCACACCAAUCUAACCAAGCAAAGAAAAAAUAGUUGAAUUUCUUUUCUUUCAUGAAAGUGGUGUGGGCUUUCCAGAGAUGGUCUUGCCUAUCCUUCCUAAAGGUUGUUUCAAACCAAAUUCUUUUAUCAACAUUUUCAAUACUCAGAUAAUCUCUUUUAAUCUUUUUGUGUUCGAUUUCAAAAGAUUUUAUCAUAUUUAUUUCAAAUUCAACAUCUAAAAAUGUUGGUUCAGGUUGAGGCGGAUUCCUUCUAAAACUUAGGUCUGGAAUGGUUUGUUCGAACCUAUAGGCUGGGCUCUGUAUUUGUUCUUGAGUUCUCCUAAGUCCUGCUAGAACCAUUCUUUCAUGUUCUAGAUCAUAGGCUCUAUCAGGGGAGGUGCUUGAUCUAUGUGGUUCUAGGUUAGAUCUAGAGGGUGCCAAAUCAAUCCUAGUUCUUCUAGCACUGGAGAAUUGUAUAUUUCUACCUCUCCAUCAGCGAAUUGCAAGAUCCGUGUAGGCUCCUGAUUUUCAAGGGGCUUUUUUGGGGCUACUUCAUCCAAAAUCCAUUUUUCUGGUAGAGUUAUAUCACUCCAUUUUAUCAUUUUUGGGACUGCCACGUUUGACUUUUCAAGGUUGGUUUGGAACAAGGUAGUUUCACCUUUACUGUCUAAGUCUUUAGCUUUGGGACAGACAAUGUUCAUAACCUUAUAUGAAACCCUAUAAAUGAUUGCUAGAUUUUGGGAUCUUGGGUCCAUAUCAUAAUCCUGAGUUUGAAUAUUCAACGUUAAGGCUUUUAAGACAUUUAUAUCAGAAAGUGCAACAGAAAAGUUUGGAAAACAGUUAAAAUAUAUCGGGCCUUCCCCUAAGGUUGACCCGACUAUUCCUAACAAAGAAUCCGUGAACUUUCUAAGUCUUCCAUCUCUUACACAUAGCAAGAUUGAAUUGGGCAAUCCUGUUCUGGUAAGUGGUUUCACCGCUAUCUGCACCAAGCCUAUGUGCAAAUAGUUAUAUUUUUUAUCCAGAUGCUGGUUGAUUUGACGCUGAGUAAAUAGCUGGAAACUAUCAUUUUUAUCAAUGACAGAUAUAGUUUUUUCAACAGUUUUUAUUGCAUAAUCAGAUCUAAAAUUGAAAGAUCCUUUAUAGUAGAUAUCAGUGAUGGGUACUCUGGGUAUAUCCCAGUUGCAUAACUCCUUUUCUACUUCUCGCAUGGAUAUUUCUUGAGAGUUUUUCACCCUUAGGGUUUUAUGGCUAGAACUGCUACUAACACCUGCAUCUCCAGAAGAACGAGUAGACAAGAUUCUCCUAAGGCUUGCAAUUUUAAUAGUCUGGGUUUUAUGCUUUCCUUAUGUUCUCCUCCUAAUUCAAGGUUGCUAGUCCCUGCCUAGGUCACUUCAACGCCUUACACCUUUCUAGCAAUGGCCAACGAGCCUAUCCGACAGCUAGACAACUCGAUGACUAGUGAGUAAAGGAAACUUGACAGAAAACCUUCAAACUAACAACUCUUCUAGGGACUUUAGGCUUUGAUACCAGGUACUGGCUGGGCCUCUUAAGAGCAAAUUUUUAAUCAAUUUUUUGCUUUAGUUUAUGCGCGGAAGGUAGUGUAGAGAUGUAGAGAAUAAACAGAAUAAUUAUCAAAAAUUUAAACAUACAAAGCCAAAAGCAGGGAUAAGAAUAUAACGAAAUUAAAAACGAUAUUAACGAUAACAUUAAUAUUUAGCAAACUUACAUAAAAGUAGAAGGGCAGUAGUGCUUAACAAAAGCUUCGCAGAAGCAGCACUUGGAAUAUAAAAACACUCAAGCACUCAAACACUCAAAAGUACAAAGUUUAUUUCUGGAGGCGAUAAUUUUGCGAUAUAUAUAUCCUCUCAUAUAAGUCCAAAUUAUCUUGAUAUUUACCCAUCGCAUUAUGAUAUUUGUCUUUAAAGAAUUAAUUAACAUACAUAUCACCACGCAGAAAAUUGAUUUAUGUCUUCAAGAUGUCUAUAGAGCAUUAUUAAACUAACCCGAAAAUAAAUCUAUAUUUUUAUUCUUAGUGCAAUGUGGAAAUAUCUUUAAAGAAUAGAAUAUUUCACCAAUAUAGCAGAGCGGCUAUACCCAACAAAUAGAAAAUUCAAUACUCUAACCGAGCGGCUAUACUCUAUAAAUAGAAAAUUUUUAAAUGUACAACUGCAUGGCUAUACGCUUUAAAUAGAAAUUUCAAAAUUAUAGCCGCCCGGCUAUACUAGUUAGAAAUUUUCCAACAGUAUAGUCGCACGGAUAUACAAAAUUGCUUUUCUCAUCCAACGAAGUAGUUUUUCAUUCUUAUUUUUUUCGUAAUGGGGCGGGUCAGGGAACUAAUUCUGCAAUGAAGGCUGGUAUGGGCCAAUGGCGGAUUGAAGACCGGCAUAUUCUGAAUAUGGGCACCAAUAUACCGGUCGACUAGUUCUCCAAGCCAGUGGCAGUGGUUGCAGUUGAUUUCCCCCAUUAUCACCUAUUGGACAACCUUUGCCUUUUCUGUGUCUUGGUGUUUCACCAUUUUGGCCAACCAUAGUCUCCAGUACCUCGGCCAUACUUAAUUCCAGUCACCUUAAAUGUAACCGAAAAUACUUGCUCGAACUCAUUCAUUUUGGCCCGCCCUAGUUGACUCCCAUUUAUUUGUCUGCUAUUCUAGAUCUAGUCAUUAUCAAUCACCAUAAUAAAGCUCCACUCUUGUAGUUUCAGUUUCACCUGUGCCUUUGAUUAUUUAGAACAAUUUAGACUUUAAUGAUAUGGUCACGGUUACAGCACAAAAGACAAAUACCAAAAGCGGCCCUCGUGAAGAAGGGUAUGGUCAUUGGUCACCCUCAGUUUCACCUGUGCCUUCUCAUCACUUUCAUUCUCGCCUCCUCAUCACUCUCUGUCGUCUGUGGUGCUCAGGAGCACCACCACCACAACGGCAUUAUCAGCCAUGGAGCUCUCUCCGACACCGAAGCCCUCUACAUCAAGCAGCGCCAGCUUCUCUACUACGGGGACGAGUUCGGCGACCGAGGCGACCUAGUCACGGUCGACCACCAUCUCUGGUUUUUGAGAACCAGAGAAUCAGAAAUGCUUACAUGGCUUUACAAGCUUGGAAGCAAGCCAUUCUCUCCGACCCGCUUAAUCUCACGGGUAAUUGGGUCGGAUCUAAUGUCUGCAACUGUAUUCAAUUUAAUCAACUGUAGGAUUCAUUUACAAGGCGAGUGGAAGGAGUCAUCAAUUUUGAAUUAACAAGUUUCUACUUUAACGUAUAACAACUAUGUUCAUAUUUAUUGGCUGGAUAACUUGUUAUAUUCAGCCAAUUACUUGGAUAACGUAUGCACUUAAGGUGCAAGUGCUUUGACAUUUGUGCCACAUAGAAUUACAUUCCUUUUUAAAUAUUUUAUGAUAUAAUUUUUUUUUUAUUUUUAAAAUUUUGAAAUCAUUUUUUGGUCCAAUGUUACCCCUUAUGACUUGAAUUGGGUAAUAGUCAUUUAUGUCAUAUUGCCUACUACCUAUUGCAUAGGUAUAUAUAUAUAUAUAUAUUUUUUUUUUUUCAUAUUUUCGACAAUGUGUCAUAGUAUUUUAUGUACCUUUUUUUAAUAGGUAACAUAUAAUUUUAUUUUGUCUAUUUUUGUAUCUGACUUAUGGGUAGUCUUCUAAUUUAUGUUCCUAACUUAUAGAUAACACGAUUUAUCACUAAAUAUUUUUCGUUGCUAAUAAUAACACUAUUUACUUGUAUGUCAUGUACAUAAUUUAAUAUGGGUGCUUGUCUGAUCGAUUGGUAUAAUAUGUGGGUCUUUACUUUUUAUUAAUUAAAUCGUAUUUUAUCCAUAUAUUAGGAAUAUUAUCAAAGAAAGAAUUUAAAUUUUAAAUUAUGAAAUUCAAUUACAAGGAAAUAAUGCAUUAAAUUUAGAUUUUCAAUGUGGUUUCCUUAUUUGCCUCAAAGGGUAAAAUUGACACAACAAAAAAAAGUAAUAAAUGUCAAAGGACUUACGUCUAAAACCAAAAACGCGAGCACUAAACCCAAUGAUAGCUAAUCGUUUUGGGCCUAGAUCUAAGAAGCCCUUUUAUUUAUUAUCUAACAUCGUUGCAUGCCAUUGAUAGUGUGCCUAUGGAUGAGGAAGAGAAAGUUGUGCUUGACUGAUGAUUGACGGAAACUUUCGCAAGUAAAUCCUCGAUGCUACUGGUUGAAGGCCCUUUGAUGUUAAAGUUAGCUUAAGGGGAUGAGCGCAAGCUAUCGACAAUGCAAGGGCAUAAGUGUCAAGUAGCAAGUCUUACCCUGUAUCUAGGGUAAGGAGUUAUAUAUAUAGGGAAUUCUGGGUUUUUUUGGGUGCUUAGUUUCGAUGUGGGACUCGUGGGAGUGCCUUCCAAGGCUAACACGCGUCCCAGCAAAUAUCCUAGCGAUGAACUCAAGAACAUCCUGCAAGAUGCCUUCUAAGGCGUAGAAUUUGGCAAGGCAUGCCGAACACACUUACCGGUCGUGGGCCGAUCAGUGAACAAUUGGCGAAUGGAGCUAGAAGCGUCUGCCGUUUGUAGGAUUAGACCUACCAGGAUGGGUUACAGGGCCAUGUUGUGCGUAGAAUCGGUCGUGGGUGCCGAAAAGACCUACCGAUUAGUACUACUGGGCUUGCCAGGGCGGGCCAUGGAGCCUUCCUUCACGUGUCAUGGCAUGAGAUGCGGGUCAGGUAUGAUACAAACAAACUUAAAUUAAUUAAACCCAUCAUGCAAUGCAUUCCCUUUCAAUUUUUUGUGAUAAACUCAUAGAUAAUUGACUAAAUAAACAUCAUCCAAAGUUUCAAUAAAAAUUACCAAGUUUUUUUUACAAUUUCCGUAGUUUUUAUUCAAUUUUUAUCGAUAUCGAUAAUAUCCCGAUAUUUCCAUCAAAAUUUCCGUGUUUUUGAACUAUCGAUAUUUUUAAUACCAUCAAUAUUUUAUACCUUGGCUGUAGGCAUUGAUUAUCAAACUAAUUAUCAGGGGACCAGUUGUUGGAUGACACUUGGGCCAGAUUAGAAGUGCAUUAAAUGUUUCCUUUAGUAAUUCUUGGAAACCUGUGCAAGCUAGAUUGCUUAUAGAGGCGAUCUGUGGUGGAUUUUCCAGUUGUUUUUUAUUUUCUUAUGCUUGAUUUAAUCAAGAAGUGUGAAGGAGUUAUUAUCUAACAUCGUUGCAUGCCAUUGACUAUGGAUGAGGAAGAUAAAGUUGUGCUUGACUGAUGAUUGACGGAAACUUUCGCAAGUAAUCCUCUCUAGCAUUGCUCGUGCCGGAAGUGUAAUUGAGGAGCUGUAUGGGUUUGGUGUUGUGUGAUGAGUAUAUUAAGGCGUAUCAAGGGUAUUUUUGGUAGUUAAAUAGGAUGUACUUAGUUAAUUUUAUAUUUUAAUUUAAAUAUUUGGGUGUACUUAGAUCAUAAGGUGUACUCAGUUAAUUUUAGAAUUCGUUUAACCACACUAUAUUAUUAUUAAUAGUUUUCUAUCAAAACAAACCCUUAAGGUCCUUAACUAUUGGCUUGCAGCCACAUAUAAUUACUGUGGUGACCUUCUCGAAUCAUCAAUUUUUAUUCAUUUAAGUUGUUGAUCAACUGCUGCAGGCAAGUUAUUCUCCUGAACUCGAGUCCCAUCAAGAGCGGGUCAAGGGGGUGAGUAAUUGUCUCAAUUCCACACGUAAACAAACAAAGGCUCACAAAACUCUCCAAAAUAUACGCAUUAAUUCUUUGCUUCUUUUCCCUUUAUAAGAAGAAGAAAGCCGUCUAAUUCAUCAUCACCAACACAAGCAAACUCAACAUCAACAAUGUCGACAAAGUCUAGCAUUACCGUCCUUGCCUUUGCCUUUUGUUUCUUGUCCCUCCUCAGUUUCGCUUACUCCAACACCACCGACGACAAAAUCUCUACCUCACCGGCCUGGUCUACUGUGACAACUGCCAAUUGAAGUCUAUGACCGAGAUGAGUAAGAUGAUAAGAUUUGAAUAUGAGAUUUAUGCAUGCAUGCAUGCACAUUGCCCAUUGAUCAGGUGCACAUCUUUUUAUCUUUUACUUUACUAAUUCUUAAUUAAGAUUCAAUUUAGGACCUAUUUAAAGAGAAGAAAAAUACGAUUUAAAAUAUAUCUUAUAACCUAAUAAUCU